This is a non-coding RNA of Arachis ipaensis, 131 nucleotides long. NCBI's taxonomy places the organism in Eukaryota, Viridiplantae, Streptophyta, Magnoliopsida, Fabales, Fabaceae. The record is from RefSeq and is a predicted model, not a curated record.
CUCCUCUUCAUUUCUAUGUCACUUUUCAUGGAGUAAAUCAAGGAUCUCUUAUUCAAUCACCAAAAGCUCCAAGAAAACGUGAUUUCUAGUUACCUUAAGGCGUAAAAGUGCUUCUGGAAGCUUGUUUUUGG